Molecule: long non-coding RNA, 894 nt
Organism: Cyprinus carpio carpio
Lineage: Eukaryota; Metazoa; Chordata; Actinopteri; Cypriniformes; Cyprinidae
Source: Ensembl
GCGUUUUUUACCACGACUGCCGGCUUUUCUCUCUCUCCCUUCCUCCCUUUCGCUCUCCCCCUUCUUUUUUUUCUGAAUGGGUGUCCUCUCUCUAACCUCUCAAUUCACAGCAGCAUUGAAACAGGACACUAUCCUGAUCACUGAUAGGCUGCGGGCAAAUCGCUCAGCCCCUGAACCGGACACUAUAAGUACUCUGGUAGUCCGUCUCCAGUGUAUGACUGACUGUUUAGUGUGAGAGAGAGUAGGAGGGGGUGGUAGAGAGUUUAAAUUCAGUGACAGUGAUAACAAUGAUAUUAUUCGUUCUCCGCUGAAACGGGGAAGCACUUUCAGAGUCUACGGCGUGCUUCCUCUGUCUCUAUCGCUUUAAGACUGUUACUGAUUAGUCGCUAAAGAAUGCGAGUGGAAAGAGAGAGAAAAAAAAAGAGACAUAGGCAGAAGGGAGAGACAGACUGAGAGCAUUGGAGUCUGGAACUCGUAUGGAGAAGACUGAUAAUACUGAGCUGAGUAGAGUUUUGUUUUUUAUUUUCCAGCAGUACAGAGACGUUAAUGGAGCUCUGACUCUCUUUCGGUGUAUUUGCGGCUCUUGAAGAGGCUGAACGAAGGGGGAAGUCAAGGACCCCGCACAUGCAGGCAGCGCUCAGCCAUGAGGAAAUACUCUUUUCACCCAGACAGAGGUUAUCCAGACAGGCUCAAUCUAUUCAGAUCACAUGAUGCUUCAUUUCAAUAUAGGGAUUCGUCACAUAGAAAAACUAAUGAAGAACUGAAGAAAGCCUGAAGCCCCCCAGAGAACUCGGUUCAUUAAGUCUUCACACAAUCUGAGUACAAUAUUGACAGAAAUACCUUGCAGGAAUGCUGUAGCACAUCUCUCACAGUCCUCGCUUUGUGUUACGUGUC